CCUACGGGUGGCAGCAGUGAGGAAUAUUGGUCAAUGGACGAGAGUCUGAACCAGCCAAGUAGCGUGAAGGAUGACUGCCCUAUGGGUUGUAAACUUCUUUUAUAUGGGAAUAAAACGUUCCACGUGUGGGAUUUUGUAUGUACCAUAUGAAGAAGGAUCGGCUAACUCCGUGCCAGCAGCCGCGGUAAUACGGAGGAUCCGAGCGUUAUCCGGAUUUAUUGGGUUUAAAGGGAGCGUAGGUGGCUUGUUAAGUCAGUUGUGAAAGUUUGCGGCUCAACCGUAAAAUUGCAGUUGAAACUGGCAGUCUUGAGUACAGUAGAGGUGAGCGGAAUUCGUGGUGUAGCGGUGAAAUGCUUAGAUAUCACGAAGAACUCCGAUUGCGAAGGCAGUUCACUGGACUGCAACUGACACUGAGGCUCGAAAGUGUGGGUAUCAAACAGGAUUAGAUACCCUAGUAGUC
Molecule: ribosomal RNA, 460 nt
Filed under: uncultured bacterium
Lineage: Bacteria
Description: partial 16S ribosomal RNA
Rfam family: Bacterial small subunit ribosomal RNA
Source: RNAcentral